GAAUAUUUUUGACCGUUGCCCCCUGAANGACCAAACGGGGGACCGNUAAUUUUUNCCUGGGAACCNGCUUGUUGGAGGGGGUUACCUCCUGGAACCGGUACCUAAUCCCGCAUACCUUCCCAGGACCAAGGGGGGGAACNUUCGGGCCUCAUGCCNUCAAAUGUGCCCAAAUGGGAUUANCUAGUAGGGGGGGNAACGGCUCACCUAGGCAACAAUCCCUAGNUGGUCUGAAAGGAUGACCACCCNCCCUGGAACUGAAACNCGGCCCAAACCCCUACGGGAGGCANCAGGGGGAAAUAUUGCACAAGGGGCNCAAGCCUGAUGCACCCUUGCCGGGGGUGUAAAAAAGGCCUUCGGUUUGAAAAGNAUUUUCACCGGGAAGAAAGGCAAUAAGGUNAAUACCCUUGUCAAUUGACUUUCCCCGCAAAAAAACCCCCGGCUUAAUUCCGNGCCACCACCCGCGUNAAUACGGAGGGGGCAAGCUUUAAUCGAAUUUNCGGGGCGUAAAGCCCACCCNGGCGGUCUGUCAAGUCGAAUGUGAAAUCCCCGGGCUCACCCUGGAAACUGCUUUCAAAACUGGCAGGCUAAANUCUUGUAGAGGGGGAUAAANUUCCAGGUGUACCGUUAAANUGCUUAAGAGAUCUGGAGNAAUNCCGGUGGCAAAGGCGCCCCCUNGNAAAAAGACUGACCCUCAGGUGCNAAANGCGGNGGGGAACAAAAAGGAAUNAAAAUACCCUGGUA
RNAcentral lists this ribosomal RNA (741 nucleotides) under Klebsiella sp. HPC866. RNAcentral describes it as "partial 16S ribosomal RNA". It matches the Rfam family "Bacterial small subunit ribosomal RNA", at positions 72 to 792 of the family's 1533-position model. Lineage: Bacteria; Pseudomonadati; Pseudomonadota; Gammaproteobacteria; Enterobacterales; Enterobacteriaceae. The record is from RNAcentral.